UGGGGAAUUUUGGACAAUGGGCGCAAGCCUGAUCCAGCCAUGCCGCGUGCGGGAAGAAGGCCUUCGGGUUGUAAACCGCUUUUGUCAGGGAAGAAACGCUCCGGGUUAAUACCUCGGAGUAAUGACGGUACCUGAAGAAUAAGCACCGGCUAACUACGUGCCAGCAGCCGCGGUAAUACGUAGGGUGCAAGCGUUAAUCGGAAUUACUGGGCGUAAAGCGUGCGCAGGCGGCUUUGCAAGACAGAUGUGAAAUCCCCGGGCUUAACCUGGGAACUGCAUUUGUGACUGCAUGGCUGGAGUGCGGCAGAGGGGGAUGGAAUUCCGCGUGUAGCAGUGAAAUGCGUAGAUAUGCGGAGGAACACCGAUGGCGAAGGCAAUCCCCUGGGCCUGCACUGACGCUCAUGCACGAAAGCGUGGGGAGCAAACAG
This 428-nucleotide ribosomal RNA is filed under the name uncultured bacterium. RNAcentral describes it as "bacterial SSU rRNA". It matches the Rfam family "Bacterial small subunit ribosomal RNA", at positions 355 to 775 of the family's 1533-position model. The record is from RNAcentral.